Molecule: long non-coding RNA, 25871 nt
Filed under: Panicum hallii
Lineage: Eukaryota; Viridiplantae; Streptophyta; Magnoliopsida; Poales; Poaceae
Description: long non-coding RNA (PHAL_LNC000629)
Source: RNAcentral
GGAAAUCAGGUGUAAUGAAACCUGGAGUUCGAGAUGGUAAAAAUCUGAAGCGAAAUGGAAAGAAUGGGGUUGAAGUUUUAAUCAACGUGUUAGCAAAGAAGGGUAUGUCGGUGGAUCAGUUUGUUACUGCUUCCUUGAGGCUAGAUAGUGUUUUUCAUGGACCUGAUGAGGAGGAGGUGGAGGAGGGCGUUUUUAUGGGGGAUGCUAGUGAAGUUUCUCCUUCAAAACGCAGUAAGAUACAAGUCUUAAACCCAGCGAUGUCUGUUAACCUGGUGGGAGCUCACGGCGAGCCCCACCAAGAGCAAUGAAUGCUACAGCCGAGAACUGCCGGGGGGUGGGGAACUCCCGGACAGUUCGCGACUUGACUGCCCUUAUGCAGUCCUAUCACCCCAAGCUUGUUUUCCUUUCGGAGACUAGGCAAAGUGAGGAAAGAAUGAAGAAUUUGAGGUGAAGAAUUGGUUUGAAAGGCUGUCUUGCUGUGGGCAGCGAUGGAAACAGUGAAGGGAUAGCUCUGUUCUGGGACGAAUCAAUCUCGGUCAAGCUGAUUGGCAUGUGCAACAGACUUAUAGAUGUCACAGUUCAGGAGUGUCCGACUUCACCUCCAUUCAGGGUCACUUUCGUUUAUGGUGAACCACGCAUGGAGGAUAGGAAAAAGAUGUGGGAACUGUUGCAGCGUACUAAGGAUAAGUCACAAGAUCCGUGGCUUGCCUUGGGUGAUUUUAAUGAAGCACUAUGGCAGUUUGAACAUUUUUCGGCUACUAAAAGAGGGGGAAAAAAUGGAAGAUUUUCGGGAUGUUCUAGAUAUAUGUGAUCUACAUGACAUCGGUUUUGCCGGACUUCCUUGGACCUAUGAUAACAAGAGAGGUGGGAAACGAAAUGUUGAGGAACGCCUCGACAGAGUUGUGGCCUCCCCUUCAUGGUCAAGUUUGUUUAGUAAUGCUUGUGUGAAACACCUUACAUCCCCAUGCUCGGAUUAUUGCCCGAUAUUGCUGCAGAUGUACCAAGGGAAGGGAGCUGAGAAGCUGAAUAAAAUUAGGCGAUACGAAAUUAUGUGGGAACGUGAGGAAUCUCUGGGACAAGAAAUAGAGGCUGCAUGGGAGGCUGCCGGAGCAAAACCAUGUCUGGGAGCUGUUUCUAAGGCUCUAAAGGAGGUGAUGUGCUCCCUGCAACAAUGGAGCCAUGAUAAAUUCAGGUCGGUCAGAAAGAAACUUGAGGAUCUAAGAAGAAAGCUGGAAGCCUUGCAGGGACAUGUGACCAAUCUAAUGCGGUGGAGAUUAAAGCAACCAUUGCAUGAAUAGGAUGAAUGAAAUCUUAUACCGGGAGGAGAUGAUGUGCAAAGAUUGCGAAUCUCAUGGCUCAAAGAGGGUGAUCGAAACACCAAAUUCUUCCACCAGAAGGCACAAUGGCAUUCUAGAAAAAAUAGAACAAAGAAGCUCAGAAAGGGUAAUGGUGAAUGGUGUGAUGAUUGGGAAGGAAUGAGUGCUCUAACCAGGGAUUUUUUUUCCAGAAGUUGAUCCUGAUUUACUGAUGCCCCUUUUUGAAAAGCGUGUUACACCGGAUAUGAAUGAUCGUUUGUGCAAGGAGUUCACGGAGGAGAUAGGAGACGCCCUGUUCCAGAUCGGGCCGUUAAAGCCGGGACCGGACGGUUUCCCGGCGCGUUUCUUCCAGAGGAAUUGGAGUACAUUGCGGCGGGAGGUGACGCUCGCUGCCCAGCAAUUUUUCCGGUCCGGAGUGAUGCCGGAAGGAGUCAACGACACCGCCAUUGUUCUGAUUCCUAAAGUAGCACAUCCAGAAUGCUUGUCUGAAUUCAGACCAAUAAGUCUGUGCAACGUGAUUUAUAAGAUUGUCUCCAAGUGCUUGGUAAACAGAUUACGACCUUUGCUAAAUGAGCUGAUAUCUCCACAGCAAAGCGCCUUCAUCCCGGGGCGUUUGAUUACUGAUAAUGGCAUUAUAGCCUUUGAAUGCUUGCAUGCAAUCCAGCAGGGGAUGACUGAAAGGAAUAAUUUCUGUGCGUAUAAAUUGGAUCUCUCGAAAGCGUAUGAUAGGGUGGAUUGGGGCUUCUUAGAAAAAGUUUUGUUGAGGCUGGGCUUUCAGAGUUCAUGGGUGUGGUGGGUGAUGUCUUGUGUCACCACUGUGCGCUACUCGGUGUGCCUCAAUGGGGUUCCGUUGGAAUCCUUCCAACCAUCCCGCGGAUUACGCCAAGGUGAUCCUCUCUCGCCAUAUCUUUUCCUUUGUCUAUAAUGCCCUCUCCUCUGCUCUAUAGAAAGAUGUGCAGGACAAUGUUAUUGAAGAGCUGAAAAUCUCGAGGCAUGCACCUGGUAUUUCACACCUCCUAUUCGCAGAUGAUGCUCUACUUUUUUUCAGAGCUAAUGCUGAGCAAGCAAGCAGGAUCAGAAACCUCAUAUCAAUAUUUGAAAGAGGCACGGGCCAAAAGCUGAGCCCAGCAAAAUGCUCGCUGUUAGCUUGGAAUUCACUAGAUACAGGGCGAAAAGAAGACAUCCAUGCUGUUCUGGGAGUUGAAAAGCUCUAGUUUGAAGCAAAAUACUUGGGGUCGCCGACCCUAGAGGGCAGAAAGAAAAGAGAUCGUUUCCAACCACUGAGGGAACGUAUGGGGAAACGCAUGGCAAUGUGGUCAAGAAACACCUAUCAGCUGCUGCAAAAGAGGUGCUCAUAAAAGCUGUGGCGCAGUCUAUUCCGACGUAUACGAUGAGUAUUUUCCAUCUGUCAGCAAGCUUCUGUGAAGAACUCGCACGUGGUGUGCGGAGGUAUUGGUGGGGAGAGGAUGUUGACAGCCGAAGAAUUCAUUGGAUUGCAUGGGAGGCUUAUCGAGUUCCCUAACAGCCUCUGUGCAAAACUGAUGAAAGCUAAAUAUUUUCCUAAUGGUGAUCUACUGGAUACAACGUUUCCCUUGCAAACUUCCCCAACAUGGAAGGCAAUUAUGCAUGGUUUAGAAUUGCUGAAAAAAGGUAUGAUAUGGCGAGUGGCAGAUGGAACAAAAAUCAAGAUUUGGAGACACCAUUGGCUACCAAGAGCUUGGUCGUUGAGUCCAAUUGGCAACAAGAGAUCCAAAACAGCUCAAUUUCGUCGGCCCCAUUUAUUUUCGUCGGCCUAAGACAAACCGACAAAAACAACUAAAUUAUUUCGUCGGCCCUCCCAAGCUGACAAAAUUAUGCUUAUUUUCAUCGGCCUGGUCACAGCCGACGAAACAAAGGAAAUACUUUUAUCGGCUUAACCUAGACCGACGAAAAUAAUAGUAAUUUCAUCGGCCUAAUUUGGCCGACGAAAAUAUAGUUGCCCUAAUAGAAAUAGCUAUCAUCAUGCUGCACGCACGUUUUCUUUAUCCCCGCGCCGCCCCAACCCCUGCGCGGCCCCCGCGCCCCCGCCGCCCCACCCCCGAGCCACCGCCGCAGCGCGCCUGCACUGUGCCGCCCCCGCGCCGCCGGCCCGCCACCCCUGCACCGUCCCCGCGCCGACCACAGUAAAGCACUAUGGUCUAACCCUAGCUGUAGAUUUUUGGAGAUUUUGCUCUCUUGUGGCUUAAGUUGUGGGAAUUGGUGUGAUUGCAGUGGUGUCGGAUGAGGUGCCGCUUGUGGUGUCGCGGCAGCUGCUGCACACGUUUGCACAGGACCUUGGGAAGCUGGAGUCCGACGCGCAGAAGGAGGUCGCCCACUACGCGCUCAUGCAGAUCCAACCACGUGUGGUCUCCUUCGAGGAGCAGGUAGGACAACUUAGUUUCACCCUGCGAAUGCUAUUUUAAGUCCCAGAAAGUACUAUUUUAGCUUCAACACAUCGAACUGAUAGCUUACUGCAAUUGGUUGACCGAACUCUUUUAGAAUGCUAAAUAAUUAUUUGUUAUAAUGAUUUGGGAAUUUGAAUAACGUUAGUGAAGUGUUAACGCAACAGUUGAAGCGGCUCCAUUAUGCUAGCCACCAUUAUUUCUAUAUGCUUAGUUUCCAAAAUAAAGAUAUAACAAGUUUUAGGGCCAGGGGGAUGCUCUCAAGUUUUCCAGCCUUCCCCGCCAUUUUUUAUAGUUUGGUUGAUGUUAGGUAUAGAUAGAAAGGCCUAUUGACUUGGUGUAUCCUCUGUGAAUCUACUCAUAUUUAUUGAUCUAGUAAAUGGUGAAAUUUUAGGAAUAUAGAUAAUGGAUGUAUAGUAAAUUGUGGUGUUCGUUUGGGGAAGUUGGGUGUUUUGUUUUAUUUUCUGUGGCCACAUUUCCACUUUCUGCAAAUUCGUUGGAAGACACUGCACCCAUUAUUUUAUUCAGUUUAAUUCUAGAGCUACAGGGAAAGACAACUUUGCACCUGCUCUCCUCUUUCGUAGUCCCGAUCUGUUUCCCCCCUCUCUACUUGCCUUUCUCAUUCACAUUCCUCCCCCCCCCCCUCAAAUCCAUGUCAAGUGGCAUGAUGUGUUGUGGCGGUCCAUUGUGAACGAGAUGCAGUGGUGGGCCCCGGCGGGAUCCGGUGGCUGAGGCCAAGGUCUUCAUCCAGCGUGAUAGACAGACCGAUGAUGCAGGCGGCCGUUGGGUCCUCGACACUGGAGCUACUAACCACAUGACAGGUGACCGGAGCAUGUUCGCCGAGCUCAACCCUGCCAUGUGUGGAACCGUGCGUUUCGGCGAUGGAUCGGUGGUGAACAUUGAAGGGCGCGGCAUGGUCCUCUUCGCCUGCAAGUCCGGCGAGCACUGUGCACUCACCGGCGCCUGCUACAUCCCGCGUCUCACUGCCAAUAUCAUCAGUAUUGGGCAGUUGGACGACGCCGGGAGCAAGGUCGACAUCGAGCACGGCAUUCUGCAUCUCUUCGCCCCCGACUGUCGUCUCCUCGCGAAGGUCACGCAUUCGCCGAACUGGCUCUACUAUCUUGACCUCCACAUCGCCCACCCGGUGUGUCUGGUAGCGUGCAGCAGUGAGCCAAGCUUGCUCUGGCAUGCGCGCUAUGGGCACCUCAACUUCCAGGCACUUCGCCGUCUCUCGCAAGAGUCCAUGGUUCGCGGUCUUCCUCCGGUCGAUCGUGUCAACCAGCUCUGCGACGCGUGCCUGGUUGGGAAGCAGAAGAGGGCGCCGUUCCUGCAACAGGUCGUCUACCGAGCCGAAGAACACCUGGAACUGGUCCAUGGCGACAUCUGCGGGCGUAUCGAGCCUACUAUGCCGGGGGGCAAGAGGUAUUUUCUCCUGCUGAUCGACGAUAUGAGUCACUUUAUGUGGCUCACCCUGAUCGCCAGCAAGGAUGAGGCAGCAGCAGCCAUCAAGCACUUCAAGGCCCGUGCGGAGGUAGAGAGCGGGCACAAGCUGAAGGCGCUGUGCACAGACCGGGCCGGAGAGUUCAUGUCGAUCGAGUUCGGCGAGUACAUGGCAAGCCACGGUGUUCACUAGCAGCUGACGGCUCCCUACUCGCCCCAACAGAAUGGGGUCGUUGAGCGCCGCAAUCAAACUAUGGUCGCCACUGCCCGCAGCAUGAUGGAGGCAAAGGGUGUCCCGGGGAGGUUCUGGGGGGAGGCCCUGCACACCACGGUCUAUCUCCUGAACUGCUCCCCCACGAAGGCGCUGAACGCAGUGAUGUCGUACGAGGCCUGGUAUGGCGAGCAGCCGUCUAUCCAUCACCUGAGGACUUUCGGCCACGUGUAGGAUCGAGAUGGCGGACUAGAGGGGGGUGAAUAGUCCUUUCUAAAACUAAUUGCGCCGGCUAACCGAAACUUAUGCGGAAUUGAAACUAUUCGCUUAGCCAAGACUUCACCCCUCUAACUAUGACUCUAAGGCACUUCCAAAAAGAUCCUACACAAAGCAAAUGGAGUGCCAAGCUAGUAAGAGCUCUCCUAACAAUUCUAAUGCCAAGCCACACAAGUCUAAGCACUAGUACUUUACAAAUAAGGGGAGCUCCUACACAAUUCUAAUGGGCAAUAGCACAAAGCCAAACCUAAGCUCACUAGAUGCUCAAGGACAAGGAUACACAAUACAAACUCAAGAGCUCAACUUGCUUAGCUACACAAUCUAAGCAAGAGCAACUAAUUAAACUACACAAGCUAACUAGUUACACUAUGAUCUCUACUUCUAGCUACACAAGCAAGAAGAUGAUUAGCAAGCUACACAAACUAACUAAACACUAGAGAGCAACUACACAAACACAAGAUAUAUAUGAAUGUAAAUACAAGGCUUGUGAUUUGGAGAAUGCAAACCACCGAGAAGAGUAGACAAGAUUGACACAGUGAUUUUUAUCCCGAGGUUCACUUGGUUGCCACCAAGCUAAUCCCCGUUGAGACAAGCUCCAAGGUUGCCGCCGAUCCUCUUGCUAGUGGUGACUCUCAAGUCACACUCUCCCACGUGGAGUGCUCACACCGAGCUCUAGCACAUGAUCCGGACGAACCACUUGUUGCUUUUCACGUCUCGCUCAACUAGAGUUGCUCUUCGCGGCUCCCGCGGGGUGAGCACAAUACCCCUCACAAUCUCUUCUCCGGAGCACCGCACAAUCUUCUUGCGGGCUUCAACGGAGCCUCUUCCCACCAAACCAUCUAGGAGGUGGCAACCUCCAAGAGUAACAAGCACACCGGCUUGCAACACGAUCACCUAGUGCCACUCGAUGCAAUCUCUCAAAGCAAUCGCACUAGAAUCGCUCUCUCACUCAAUUGGAUGAUCACUAUCAAGUUAGAGUGAGUAGAGGGCUCUCAAGCACUCUCACACAUGGACACCAAGUCCCCAAGGUGCUCAGCACCCUCAAAUGGCCGGCCACACCCUCUAUUUAUAGAGGGAGGCCCCAAACUAGCCGUUACACUCAAAUCCCGAGAAAACAGAGAUUUCGCGGACUGUCCGCCUCACAGAAACCGGACCGUCCGCCAUUCAAAACCAACGGCUAGAACAGCAAUUAUUAUGUGUCAGAGUCGACCGUUAGAGCCCCUGGCGGACUGUCCGCGCCCUUGGGGCGGACUGUCCGCGGUUCAAAACUUCGAACCAACCGAUUUGCAAACAUCUCUGACUAAAUCUGGAAGUGACCGGCGGACUGUCCGCACCCCAUGGGCGGACUGUCCGCAGUUCAAAAAGUGAGCACACACAGAAACCGUAGUGUUUCUGUCCCAGAAUUUUCAGUAGGAGGCGGACCGUCCGCCCCCAAGGACCGGACGGUCCGCAGUUCAUUUUGGACACCCAAGAUAGAACUACCAAGAAUCUGCGCCCGUUUCAGCUUUUAGUGGCGGACCGUCCGCCCCAUGGACCGGACGGUCCGCAGUUCAUUUUGGACCACCAACAGAGCCAAAAAUGGCUCUGUUAGAGCUCAUCCGGGAUAAUGGCAGACCGUCCGCCCCCCAUGGGCGGACCGUCCGCAGGUCUAUUUCCAGCAGAAAUGUACCUCGGUAAAACGGCCAUAACUCUUAGCUCCGAUGUCCAAAUUAGGUGAUCUUGGACUCUAUGGAAAGCUAAUUCAGAGGGCAACAUAACCCAACUGAAUACUUGGUCCAAAACAUAAUGGAUCAAAGCAGUAUUCCACUCCAAGAGACAACCUAAUUUCCGGAGAAAACCGAAAAACCUUUCUUGCUUCCCAAAGUUGAUCAACAUCAACUCCAACUCUUUCUCCUUUGCAAAUGUGCCAACACCACCACGUGAACAAAACCAUGUGCAUGUGUGUUAGCAUUUCACAAUCAUUUUCAAAGGAUUUUCACUUGAUCUCACCACGCCACUCGAUCCUAGCAACAUCGCAAUGUUAGAUCGCUCAAGUGGCACUAGAUGACCGAUAUGCAAACAAGUUUGCCCCUCUUGAUAGUACGGCCAUCUAUCCUAAAUCCGGUCAGGCACUUCUCUACACAACCUUUGACCGGUGAAAUGAAAUGCCCUACAAGUCAUACCUUUGCCUUGCGCAUUUCAUUUCAUUUUCCCAAAUGUUGAUGCCACACAAGCACCAAAUUCCAUCAAGCCUUUUGAUCAUCUUCAUAAGUCAACACUUGGCUUGAUCUUUCUUGAAUGAUAUGAUCCACUCCAUAUCAUCACAUGACCUCUUUGGUCCAUCGAUCUUGACCUUGCUCGCUCUUCACCGUUGCCUCGGUCCAUCGGCGCCAAAUCUUGCUCAAGCUUCACCGCCUCGCGGUCCCUCGCUUCAAAGCCUUGACUUGCCCUUCUCCAUUGCAACCGGUCCAUCAAGCCAAGCCUUGUCUUGAUCUUCUCCAUUUUGGUCACAUAACUCCAUGUUAUGUCUCAUAUGCAAUGAGCUCCUCGAUCACACUAUAUGAGCAUAGCAUCAACCCUUAGCCAUUUCUCCUCCAUGGCACAUGUUGCUCAUACUAGUGUCUUUGUGUGGACUAAUCUCCUGUGUAUCUCAACAUAAACACUUAUUAGUCCACCUAAGUUGUUCAUCAAUUACCAAAACCAAACAAGGGCCUUUCACCACGUCGGCCAUGUCAAGGACGUGCGGCCUCACGUGAAGAAGCUGGCUGAUCGCUCCACACCAAUGGUCCUACUCGGCUACGAGCCAGGGAGCAAGGCGUACCACCUCUACGACCCGGCAGGUGGACGCGUGCAUGUGUCGCGUGACAUCGUCUUUGACGAGAAUGCGAGCUGGAACUGGGAGACUACAUCAGCACCGGCCCAGGGCGCUGAGCCAUUCAGCAUGGAGUCCAUGUCCUUGCCCGUCAGUGGCAGGGUGCCGGAGCCUGCUGCAACAUCAUCCUCUCCGAGCCCUCCACCUGCGUCACCACCACUGGGAUCACUAACUCUCACCAUGGCGUCGGCGUACACCCCUGAUGCGGCAUUAGUUGCAGCCUCGCCAUCUCCGCAGGACGGGAUCGAGAUCGUGACGCCACCGACGUUCGACGACGCGCUCGACUCGGACGUAUACGACUCCGUGCCUCAGCGUUACCGGCGCAUCGACAACAUCCUCGACGGCGGUGCUCACCCUGGGUAUGCACCUCAUGCACUUGACUUUGAUGAACUCCAUGCAGUCACCAUUGAGGAGCCUGGGUCGUUCAAGGAGGCCGAGCAUGCACCGGAAUGGCAGAACGCCAUGAAGGAGGAGAUGGACGCCAUCGUCGCCAACGGGACUUGGAGUCUCACUGAGCUCCCCGCCAGUCACCGCGCUAUAGGCCUCAAGUGGGUCUACAAAGUGAAACGUGACCAGCUGGGCGCCAUCGUCCGUCACAAAGUGCGCUUGGUGGCCAAAGGAUACAUCCAGCAUCAGGGGGUGGAUUUCGAAGAGGUGUUCCCACUGGUGGCGCGUCUCGAGUCCAUGCGCCUCAUGCUCGCCAUCGCCGUGCACUGGAACUGGCCGGUUCAUCACAUGGACGUGAAGUCGGCGUUCCUAAUCGGAGACCUCCAGGAGGAGGUGUACGUCGCUCAGUCGCCCGGCUUCGUCGACAAGGACCGCCCCGGCAAGGUACUGCAUCUUCACAAGGCGUUGUACGGACUACGUCAAGCCCCUCGCGCCUGGAACACCAAGCUGGACGCGAUGCUAUCAUCCCUCGGCUUCAGGCGCAGUGAGAAUGAACACGGCGUCUACACGCGCGGCAAAGCCCAGAAGCGGCUGAUGGUUGGCAUCUACGUUGACGAUCUUAUCAUCACCGGUGGCGACGAUGCGGAGCUCAAGGUGUUCAAGGAAGACAUGAAGAGGCAGUUCCAGAUGAGCGACCUAGGCACACUGUCGUACUAUCUCAGCAUCGAAGUGUGCCGGGGGCCAUCGGGGAUCACUGUCUCCCAGGAGCGGUACGCGCACAAGCUAGUGGAGAAGGCCGGCAUGGUCGGCUGCAAUCCUAGCUCCACGCCGAUGGAGCCUCGGCUCAAGCUACUCAAGGAGAGUACAGCUCCACCUGUAGAUGCCACAGCCUACCGGAGUAUCGUCGGGGGACUCAGGUACCUACUGCAUACGCGACCGGACAUCUUGUUCAGCGUCGGCUAUGUCAGCAGGUUCAUGGAGGCGCCAACUGAGGAGCACCAAGCUGCUGUGAAGCGCAUAUUGCGCUAUGUUGCAGGUACAGCAAGCCUGGGGAUACACUACAAGCGCGGUGUCAGGAGGACGCUGCCUCUAUUGCAUGGGUACAGUGACAGCGACCUCGCCAGCGAUGUCAACGAUCGCAAGAGCACCGGCGGGGUCAUCUACUUCCUCGGCGAUGGGCCUAUCUCCUGGCAAUCGUGCAAGCAGAUGGUGGUGGCCCUUUCAUCGUGCGAGGCGGAGUACAUCGCGGCGGCGACUGCAACAUGCCAGGGUGUCUGGCUAUUGCGCCUCCUCGCGGACCUGCUCGACGUUGAGGCUAGCGCGCCAGUACUACGGGUGGACAAUAAGUCCGCCAUCUCCCUCAUCAAGAACCCAGUACACCAUGACCGGACGAAGCACAUCGACAUCAAGUAUCGCUACAUCCGGGAGUGUGCUGAAAGAGGCCUGAUCGACGUUCAGUUCAUCGGAACGACGGAGCAGCUGGGUGACAUCUUCACCAAGGCCCUCGGUCGACUCAAGUACGACGAGCUGCGGAGCAAGAUCGGCCUCACCAAAUUUCUCUCCACCGGCAACAGGACUUAGGGGGUGAUUUGUUGGAUAUUAGGGGGUGAUUUGUUGGAUAAGUAUGUUAUCGACUAGUGCACAGUUAGGCAUUCCUAUCUUCCAGCUUAGCUAAGAUUAGCCAGCGCGCAUGCAGCCGCUCGCCGUGCUCACCAUGCGCGCGUUAUCCGCGGCACGUCCUAGCGAUGUGGGAUGGUGCGUCAUGUGCACGAACAAGAGCAUCGCCUGUCAUGACUUUUUUACUGAAUCCAGAUCAUCGCCAUUCUUGUGAGCAGGUGGAGCAGCCAGCAGCGUGUCGUAGCAGCCUCCCCUGCAGCACAGCAGCACCGCCAGGGAACCAGCACAGCGCAGAUUAGCAGCGGGCUCCCCAAGAUGUUGCUGUGCCGACCACCAGCAAUGGGGAGGGAAAAAAAGAAAAAAAAAUGAGGCCACUGCUUCUCACCAGGACCAUCGGCAAGAUCCCGCCACUGCAAGCAUCGCUGCUCUGCCCAGUAGGAGCUCCAUUGGCAUGCUACAUGCAGUCACGACGCCCACUGCUGCGAGUGGGCCUUCGCGCCGCCGUCCCUGCCUGGAGCUCCAUCACUCGCUACCCAGCCCGGAGCUCCAAUGCACCCUUCGUCGAGUGCUACAAAUGCCUCAGCCACCGGAUCCCGCCGGGGCCCACCACUGCAUCUCGUUCACAAUGGACCGCCACAACACAUCAUGCCACUUGACACGGAUUUGAGGGGGGAGGAAUGUGAAUGAGAAAGGCAAGGAGAGAGGGGGAAAACAGAUCGGGACUACGAAAGAGGAGAGCAGGUGCAAAGUUGUCUUUCCCUGUAGCUCUAGAAUUAAACUGAAUAAAAUAAUGGGUGCCGUGUCUUCCAGCAAAUGCACAUGGUUUUGUAGUGUCUACUAGCAAGCCACUCUUUCUUAGUGGUCUGUGGCAAAAGACACCUUUUAACAGUGUCCUGCAGCCAAUUUUGCCUUAACCCAUUUCAGACUAGAGAGAAGCAUGAACAUAGCUGUCACAUACUUACGCAUAGAAUUAAAACACAGGUUCUUGUCACAGCCAUAAAAAAAGGCAUGCGUGUGUGUUAUCCUGUACAAGUAAUCCCAUCUUAGCAUUUUCUAAAUAAACCGUGAUUUCAGGUCAUAGUUACUUAACAGUUUAGAAGACCACUUUCUGUUUCAACAUUCAUAAGUGGAAAACAGUAAGUACUUUGUGGAUAGCUAUCAGCAUUGUUCUAAGGGAAAUAAAUAGCUAGUUUAGAAGAUCACUUCAAGUGGAAAAUGGUAAGUACUUUGCAGAUAACUAUCAGCAAUUCACCAUUGUUCUAAAGGGAAGAACUGGCUCGUAAUUCUCAUAUUUUAUAGCUACAAGAAGAUUUCCUAAGCAUUUACAGUACUUAAAAAACUGCAUGGUUAGUAAAACACUAUAUACCUCAUUUCUUUACUUCAAGGGUAGCAAGUCCAGUAAUAUCAGGAUUCUUGAGCUGCUCAAGCUGUCUCUUCCCUCUCCUCAGCAAGUACUCUAUGUAUACAAAGUUCCUACGGUCGACAUUCCUUGCGUUGUCACGGAACUCUGCCGAGACAACAGACUCGAUCCUGCGCCGCUCUUCUGGGUCUUCUAGGCGUGCUGUCCGAAGGAAUCCCCUGUACAGCGUCAAGACCUGCUUCUGAAUACCAGACAGCUUUGGACGGGAGGCCAUUUCAUUGAGCAACCAUCAAAGCCUGAUACAAAUACCACAAAUGAGUUAUCUACAGGCGAUCCAUAUGCUCUCGCGAUUGAGAGACACUAGAAGAAUUUUCAAUGGAUGGAGCAUCAAGCAAUGCUCUUCCUCAGUUUCUCUAACAGAAACAAACUGGGCUGCAUCAAAAUUAACUGCCACAGCAAACAAACCAUGGCAACAGCAGGUUUACGUAAAUCCAGGAGAGACGUAACAGCAAUGAAUCAAUAGCUAACUGAAGGGAGACCAAAAUUUUGGAUAGUGUUUGUUUCAUCCAAUGGGGAGGUAACAGUAAUGUUAUCAACUACCCCCGCUAUCUGUUACAGAGUAACGAUUCCUAGAUUUUGUUUGGUUACCUUGGGUAACGUUAUUCAGAUUCUUUUGUGUGUUUGACUGGGAACAACGGUAAUGGACAGCAGUAUGCUGCUGAUUUGAACUAACGCUUACAGAAAAGCACAUGCAUAACAAAGUAUCCAUGGUCUCCAAAUCAGUAGAACAUUUUAUCAAGCUUACAGGGCAGCACAGGCUCUUGAUUCUAUUGAAGAGAAAAGUGGCUGGGUAGGCUAAUUAACAGGCAUCAAGCAACAUUUGAAUUAAAAACUAUACUGCAUAUAAGAAGUCCAAGGCAAAAUGAAAUAAAGUUCAAAAGUUAUGAGAAGUUCUGUAUGAAUAUUUCUUGAGCUUCAAAGGAUAAAAAAUUCAGAAAGAUGACACAAUAACAUGUCUUAGAGCUUCAACUUCAAAUGCUUGGCAAAUUCAGAAGUUUAUAUGAACAAUCUAGCACAAGGUUGAUCUGAUACAAUGGCUUCUGAAAUUCUUAGCAAAAUUUGACGCUUACUCAUCACUUCUUCCUUUGAGCCUCAUCCAAUGAAGAGAAAAACAUUACAAACAUAUAUAAGUGCAAGAAGGAUUUGGAUAUGUAAUAGAGGCAAGGUAAAAAUGACAGUAUCCAGAUGAUAGAAUUAGCAAGGCAGGAUCAGGCAAGUUAAAAACUUUGGACUAAGCCACAUUUUCUUGGGAUCUGACUAUAUGCAAGUCUCAGAAUAUUUUAAUUGCCCAUCAGAUUAAUUAACCAUGAGGGAUCAGAAACACUAUCAAUUAAACAUCAGGUUAUUUCAAUUAUAGAACCUCUACUCGAAGAAGUGUUUCAUUCUUGAUGUUGAAUCAAUGCAAAUUCAUUUUCAAAGACAUAUUCAGUACUAUUUAACAAAUGAGAUGCUUAGAGACAUAUUCAGGUGACAUAUUAAGUAGAUAUCGAAACCAUAUUGUGUCUAUUACUAACUCACUUUUAUAUUGAAAAUUCCAUUCAGUUAUCUACCCACCCCUUUCUGUGCAUGCAGUAGCAAGGAGAUCAGACUGCUGACAGUUUGAUACCUACUGAAACUAAUAUUAUUAUGUCUGAUGAUCAGUGAAAAUCAUUCCAAAGAAAAGUCACCUAGUGAUGAAAACUUCGAAACAACAGGGCCCGGAACUACCUGCAGCACAAGCAAAGUGUACCCUGUUCUAAAUGCUUGUCUAAUUCCAGACUCGAUGUACAACAGCCUCAUCUAAUGAAGAUGUAAAAUUAGAAAGGAGCCAUAGUACUACUUCAACCCAAACAAUCAGGCAAGGCCACAUGAAACAGAAAGCAUCAUUCACCAUGCAGGGAAAUAAAGUGGCAGACCAGACAAAGGAAUUAAGCUGUUUAAUCUAGCAACAUAAUGAGUCAGUUUUUUCUGCAACUAUCUAGCAAGAAUGACAUAUGAGCAAGGCUAUCAUUGCGUCCUGAGAGUAUGAAUUUCCUGAGAAUGAGGUCUCCCUCUCCCUCUCCCUCUCGCGCUCGCUCUCCCUCCCUCUCCCUCUCCCUCUCGCUCCCUCUCUCUCUCCCCUUCUCCCUCUCUCCCUCUCGCUCUCUCUCCCUCUCCCCUUCCCUUCCUCUCUCUCAAAAAAGAACUCAACGGGAUGCAAAAUCAGACACCACUUUCACAUGAAGGCACUCGGAGGGGUAGGAAGAACACACACACCUUACAGAUUGUCAAUCCGAUUGAUGCAGGUCGUCUUCCCCCCGGGCCCCUCGCGGAGCUUGCCCUUUCGCUGAGAAUUCCGUCAAAAUCAAGAACACAUGACACGUUAUGGUUUGGGAAAAAGGUUGGGGGUGGAGCAGGAUGCAGGAGGGAGUGGGAGAGGGAGGGGGAGGGGAGAGAGGAUGGAUGGUCCUCACCAGUGAGAUGCGGCGCGCAGGAGACGCUGGCGUGGAUUGUGGCGGCGGCGCGAAGAAGAGAAAGUCGUGCGAGCCUGGGAGGGGUAGAGUCGUGAGAGCGGCGGGUGGAGUCGAGGCGACUGGCGAGGGGGGAAGGCAAGGGUCAGGUCGGACGCGGGUGGAGCAAAACCGACCCAUUGGGUGCCAAACCCGUGGACUUUUUAUAUUUUUACUAUUAUUAAACACCGUUAUCCAAAUAUCACUUUAACUAUUGCUCUUACAAAAUUGCCACCGAAAACAGAAAAAAUCUUACAAAUUUAUCUAAAAUGGACAUUUUUACGUGCAUGGUGUGCCAGAUCACGAUAUCAGCGUGGAGGCACGUUGCGAGAAAACGAAACUGCCCAUCCGCUGCUCCUCUCUCUCCCUCUCCGACACCUAGGUCCUGCAGCUCCUCUCCUGCCAGGUGGGCCUCACUCGUCAGCUUUGUCUCCCAUCCCCAGUACCGGAGAGGCAAGGCCACCCGCGCCGCCGAGGCCGAGGUCGCCCGCGGCCAGGCCACCUAUGCCGCUGGGCCGAGCUCGCCCGCGGACUGGGCCAUCCGCGCCGCCGCCAGGGCCGAGCUCGCCCGCGGCCAGGCCACCCGCACCGCCGAGGCAGAGCUCGUCGGCCAGGGCCACCCCUCUCGAUCUCUGCUCUCUCCCUCUCGCUCCGAGCGGGACGAGGGCGCGCUGCUCCAACUCACGGCGUUCUGGUCCUGCAACAUAGUGCAAUAUGCGCUUCACAGCAGCUUGGUGCUCCUCAGUUGGUGCCUCCAUGAACCUGCUGACAUAGCCGACACUGAGGUACAGCAAGCCUGGGGAUACACUACAAGCGCGGUGUCAGGAGGACGCUGCCUCUAUUGCAUGGGUACAGUGACAGCGACCUCGCCGGCGAUGUCAACGAUCGCAAGAGCACCGGCGGGGUCAUCUACUUCCUCGGCGAUGGGCCUAUCUCCUGGCAAUCGUGCAAGCAGAAGGUGGUGGCCCUUUCAUCAUGCGAGGCGGAGUACAUCGCGGCGGCGACCGCAACCUGCCAGGGUGUCUGGCUAUUGCGCCUCCUCGCGGACCUGCUCGACGUUGAGGCUAGCGCGCCAGUGCUACGGGUGGACAAUAAGUCCGCCAUCUCCCUCAUCAAGAACCCAGUACACCAUGACCGGACGAAGCACAUCGACAUCAAGUAUCGCUACAUCCGGGAGUGUGCUGAAAGAGGCCUGAUCGACGUUCAGUUCAUCGGAACGACGGAGCAGCUGGGUGACAUCUUCACCAAGGCCCUCGGUCGACUCAAGUACGACGAGCUGCGGAGCAAGAUCGGCCUCACCAAAUUUCUCUCCACCGGCAACAGGACUUAGGGGGUGAUUUGUUGGAUAUUAGGGGGUGAUUUGUUGGAUAAGUCUGUUAUCGACUAGUGUACAGUUAGGCAUUCCUAUCUUCCAGCUUAGCUAAGAUUAGCCAGCGCGCAUGCAGCCGCUCGCCGUGCUCACCAUGCGCGCGUUAUCCGCGGCACGUCCUAGCGAUGUGGGAUGGUGCGUCAUGUGCACGAACUUGCCGUGUUUAGCUCUAUAAUUAGGCUUUAUAUUCUGCAAUCAAAGAAGAAAACGCUGCCGCUACGCAGCACCAAAACGCCUGUGUCUUCCACUGUGAUCGCGUGUCCUCUCUCUCGCUCUCGCCGGCGUGAUUCUGACAUAGGGUUCCGGCAACAGAUUGCUCAAUAGGUUUCCUGCUGAAUUACUGGGAAAUACUGUGCAACAUCCGAAAAGAGGAAGUGCCUGACAGAAAGGGGAAGUAGGUGAUGGGAAACCAGCACAGCAAGAAGAAGCCUACAAAAGAGAGAAAGAGCCUUCGGUGGAUACCACCUGAAGAUUGUCUGAUCAAAAUAAAUGUAGAUGGUGCCUUCAUGAAUAAUGGUGAUGCCAGCAUUGUGGUGGUGAUUAGGAAUUCAGAAGGAACCGUCUUGCUUUCGGCCUGGCGGGUACUCUCCCAUGCUGUGAAUGCUGAAGAGGUAGAGUUAAUGGCUUGCCGGGAAGGGGUCGCAUUGGCGGUGGAAUGGACCCCUAUGCAUGCCAUCUUCGAGUCGGACUGUUUAUCUGCAUUACAGCUUCUGAGCAAGCAAGGGGAACAGAGAUCUUCAUCGAUGUUUCUAGUAAAGGAGAUCUGUGAUACGGCAAGGCGUAUGACUUCUCUCCGCUUCCAUCAUGUAAAGAGAGACCAGAAUGUAGUAGCACAUGAGCUUGCACAGUUUGCUAAACGGUUGUUUCAUAGUGCAGUAUGGCGCAACCGAGCUCCGACCUCUGUUGAGCAAAUAGUUGCUCAUGAACGUAACUUUGUUCGGUAAUUAAUAAAGCUCUCUCUUUAUCGUAAAAAAAAGAAGCCGGAGUGAAGAACCACCUGUGUAGGAUAUCCAUUUGCCGCCACCCCCCCCCCUCACGCGUGCUGCUAGGGGCACCCUAAUCUGCGGGCGACCGUAUGGAGGGGUUCCGUACGGUCGAUUUUCAAUCAGGUACUACCGUCCGCACUUAUCCCUUUCUCUCUUUCUAUUUUGAUAAAAAAUUAUAUACACAAAAGUUACAUAUAAACAUUUAUAGACACAAAGUUUGAUCAAAUUACAAAGACAAAAAUUGUAGAAAGAGAAAAUUAUAAAGGUCAGAAACAAAAAAUCACAACAAUUUUGGGAAAAAUUUUGAAACAAACUUUCAGUGAAACUUAAAAAAAAUCUUGAAUAAAAUUUUAGACGAUAAAAUUGGGAAACAAAAAAAAUCUAAGGAUAAAUUUGGGAGAAAAAAUUUCAGGAACAAAAAAUUUGGAAGCAAAAAUUUAAGAUUAAACUUGGGAGAUAAAGAUUUUCAAAACUUUUGGAAAAUAAAAAAUCAGAACCAAAAAUUUUGGAAACAAAACUUAAUAUCCAGUUUGGUUGAAAAAUUUAGGGAACAAACUUAGUCACAGGCUGGAACUAGGCAAACAAAAAGAAAAAAUGAAAAAGAAGAAAAUUAUAUUAGGGAGACGUACAAAAUUGGUAGUUUGAUACUUUCUACUUGGGAUAUAUCUAAUGCAAACUAUAACAAGGGGCAAUCAUAAAGCUCAAAUUACUACCUAAUUUAGCAGAACCACCAAAAACUAGAACAUCGGAUAAUCUCUUUUAGGAGAUAUGAAAAAGGUAAUUUUUCUACAAAAUUUAAAUAACAGGGAAAAUUGUGUUUUCAUUCUUCUAACAGCUCUUGAGUUUGAAUGUGUAUAACAAAAUGUUGGCACAACACUAUAUAGAUUGCCAUUGCCUCGAUCUUGUUUGAAUGAAGAACAAAUUUCCAACCAAGGUGCAGGCAUGCUUCUACACAAGAUAUGCUAGCUUCUAGGAAGAAACAAAUGGUCAAAUGAUUGGCGUACGAAAGUUGUGCAAGGGUGUUUGCAUAUGAAGUUUCUGUCCAUUGUUUCAAUUGAUGUACAGGAAACAUAUAUUAAACCAUUCAAGUCAUAAAUAUGAAAUCAAUACAAACAUGAGCUCAUCUUUUGAAGUUAAGAUGCAGAAUACAUACUUUUUAGAUUGUGCAGACUCAGAUAGAUCAAAGAAUUCCAUAGAAACUCGCCCUUCUACAGAACUUAGAGCAUAUCCUGGAGCAAGAUAGACAAGACUGAGAAUGCUCUGAAUGGUAAUGCAGAAAACAAAUGCUACUUACUAGUAGCACAAAAACACAUACAAAAGCAGUGCAUACUGCUCUGAUUAUUGCUUAUCUACUACUUUCUAGAAUAUUAGAUCUAGUAAUCUACAUCUACUGGGAACAUAGGACCGGAUCAGGAGCGGAGGAGCAGGAGCCUCAUGGGCCAUGGCCUUACCGGAGCAGGAGGCGUCGGAGCCUCGGAGGGGAUGACGGACGAGCUGCGGCGCGCCGGUGUCAGAGGAGUCGGGUGACGGGCAGCCGGCGGUCGGGGCAACAAGGCGAGCGGGCAGGCAGAUGCAGCGGCGGCGGAUGGGGACAGGAGAGACCGAGCUUUUAGUCGCCGCCAGGCUGCAUGGAGCCAACACGCGCUCAGUGGGGUAGGGGAAUGGGGGGCAGUUAUAGGGGUGGCGGCCCCUAGGCUCGCGGCUCUCGAGGAGACCAGUGGGAGUGGGGAGCGGCGGGGAGGAGACGGAGCCGGUGAUCUCACCUUGGGCAGCGCGCGGGGACGGAGCGGGCGGGCGGGGGGCGCGUCGGGGGGGGGGCGACGGGAGGGCGUCGGGGGCGGCGGGCGGCGCGUUGGGGGCGGCGGGGGGCGCGGCGGGGAGGAGGUCCAGAGCCGGCGCGGCAGGUCGUGGAGGAGUCGGGAUGGGGAGAGGAGUCGGGGUGGGGAAAGAAUAGCGGUCGGGAAAGAAGACGCGAAGCGGUAAGUUUGUAACCGGUGCCAGUGCGGGGGUAAUUACCUGCGCGAAUCGGUAGAAAUCUGGGUGCGAGCAGCUGCGUCGUUUCCACUGCGAGAAUCGCUAGAUUUCGAGGAAUCGCUUCGCGUUGCUAAGCCUUUGGCUGCGAUUCCAAAUUUCUCGCCGCGAAUCUGGCUCCCGAAGCCGAACCAAAGGGACCCAUAGGGGUCCAUUCCACCGCCGAUGCGACCCCUUCCCGGCAAGCCAUUAACUCUACCUCUUCAGCAUUCACAGCAUGGGAGCGUACCCACCAGGCCGAAAGCAAGACGGUUCCUUCUGAAUUCCUAAUCACCACCACAAUGCUGGCAUCACCAUUAUUCAUGAAGGCACCAUCUACAUUUAUUUUGAUCAGACAAUCUUCAGGUGGUAUCCACCGAAGGCUCUUUCUCUCUUUUGUAGGCUUCUUCUUGCUGUGCUGGUUUCCCAUCACCUACUUCCCCUUUCUGUCAGGCACUUCCUCUUUUCGGAUGUUGCACAGUAUUUCCCAGUAAUUCAGCAGGAAACCUAUUGAGCAAUCUGUUGCCGGAACCCUAUGUCAGAAUCACGCCAGCGAGAGCGAGAGAGAGGACACACGCGAUCACAGUGGAACACACAGGCGUUUUGGUGCUGCAUAGCGGCAGCGUUUUCUUCUUUGAUUGUAGAAUAUAAAGCCUAAUUACAGAGCUAAACACGGCAAGUUCGUGCACAUGACGCGCCAUCCCACAUCGCUAGGAUGUGCCGCGGAUAACGCGCGCAUGGUGAGCACGGUGAGCGGCUGCAUGCGCGCUGGCUAAUCUUAGCUAAGCUGGAAGAUAGGAAUGCCUAACUGUACACUAGUCGAUAACAGACUUAUCUAACAAAUCACCCCCUAAUAUCCAACAAAUCACCCCGUAAGUCCUGUUGCCAGUGGAGAGAAAUUUGGUGAGGCCGAUCUUGCUCCGCAGCUCGUCAUACUUGAGUCGACCGAGGGCCUUGGUGAAGAUGUCACCCAGCUGCUCCGUCGUUCCGAUGAACUGAACGUCGAUCAGGCCUCGCUCAGCACACUCCCGGAUGUAGUGAUACUUGAUGUCGAUGUGCUUCGUCUGGUCAUGGUGUACUGGGUUCUUGAUGAGGGAGAUGGCGGACUUAUUGUCCACCCGUAGCACUGGCGCGCUAGCCUCAACGUCGAGCAGGUCCGCGAGGAGGCGCAAUAGCCAGACACCCUGGCAGGUUGCGGUCGCCGCCGCAAUGUACUCCGCCUCGCACGAUGAAAGGGCCACCACCUUCUGCUUGCACGAUUGCCAGGAGAUAGGCCCAUCGCCGAGGAAGUAGAUGACCCCGCCGGUGCUCUUGCGAUCGUUGACAUCGCCGGCGAGGUCGCUGUCACUGUACCCAUGCAAUAGAGGCAGCGUCCUUCUGACACCGCGCUUGUAGUGUAUCCCCAAGCUUGCUGUACCUCAGCGUCGGCUAUGUCAGCAGGUUCAUGGAGGCGCCAACUGAGGAGCACCAAGCUACUGUGAAGCGCAUAUUGUGCUAUGUUGCAGGACCAGAACGCCGUGAGUUGGAGCAGCGCGCCCUCGUCCCGCUCGGAGCGAGAGGGAGAGAGCAGAGAUCGAGAGGGGUGGCCCUGGCCGACGAGCUCUGCCUCGGCGGUGCGGGUGGCCUGGCCGCGGGCGAGCUCGGCCCUGGCGGCGGCGCGGAUGGCCCAGUCCGCGGGCGAGCUCGGCCCAGCGGCAUAGGUGGCCUGGCCGCGGGCGACCUCGGCCUCGGCGGCGCGGGUGGCCUUGCCUCUCCGGUACUGGGGAUGGGAGACAAAGCUGACGAGUGAGGCCCACCUGGCAGGAGAGGAGCUGCAGGACCUAGGUGUCGGAGAGGGAGAGAGAGGAGCAGCGGAUGGGCAGUUUCGUUUUCUCGCAACGUGCCUCCACGCUGAUAUCGUGAUCUGGCACACCAUGCACGUAAAAAUGUCCAUUUUAGAUAAAUUUGUAAGAUUUUUUCUGUUUUCGGUGGCAAUUUUGUAAGAGCAAUAGUUAAAGUGAUAUUUGGAUAACGGUGUUUAAUAAUAGUAAAAAUAUAAAAAGUCCACGGGUUUGGCACCCAAUGGGUCGGUUUUGCUCCACCCGCGUCCGACCUGACCCUUGCCUUCCCCCCUCGCCAGUCGCCUCGACUCCACCCGCCGCUCUCACGACUCUACCCCUCCCAGGCUCGCACGACUUUCUCUUCUUCGCGCCGCCGCCACAAUCCACGCCAGCGUCUCCUGCGCGCCGCAUCUCACUGGUGAGGACCAUCCAUCCUCUCUCCCCCUCCCCCUCCCUCUCCCACUCCCUCCUGCAUCCUGCUCCACCCCCAACCUUUUUCCCAAACCAUAACGUGUCAUGUGUUCUUGAUUUUGACGGAAUUCUCAGCGAAAGGGCAAGCUCCGCGAGGGGCCCGGGGGGAAGACGACCUGCAUCAAUCGGAUUGACAAUCUGUAAGGUGUGUGUGUUCUUCCUACCCCUCCGAGUGCCUUCAUGUGAAAGUGGUGUCUGAUUUUGCAUCCCGUUGAGUUCUUUUUUGAGAGAGAGGAAGGGAAGGGAGAGGGAGAGAGAGCGAGAGGGAGAGAGGGAGAAGGGGAGAGAGAGAGGGAGCGAGAGGGAGAGGGAGAGGGAGGGAGAGCGAGCGCGAGAGGGAGAGGGAGAGGGAGACCUCAUUCUCAGGAAAUUCAUACUCUCAGGACGCAAUGAUAGCCUUGCUCAUAUGUCAUUCUUGCUAGAUAGUUGCAGAAAAAACUGACUCAUUAUGUUGCUAGAUUAAACAGCUUAAUUCCUUUGUCUGGUCUGCCACUUUAUUUCCCUGCAUGGUGAAUGAUGCUUUCUGUUUCAUGUGGCCUUGCCUGAUUGUUUGGGUUGAAGUAGUACUAUGGCUCCUUUCUAAUUUUACAUCUUCAUUAGAUGAGGCUGUUGUACAUCGAGUCUGGAAUUAGACAAGCAUUUAGAACAGGGUACACUUUGCUUGUGCUGCAGGUAGUUCCGGGCCCUGUUGUUUCGAAGUUUUCAUCACUAGGUGACUUUUCUUUGGAAUGAUUUUCACUGAUCAUCAGACAUAAUAAUAUUAGUUUCAGUAGGUAUCAAACUGUCAGCAGUCUGAUCUCCUUGCUACUGCAUGCACAGAAAGGGGUGGGUAGAUAACUGAAUGGAAUUUUCAAUAUAAAAGUGAGUUAGUAAUAGACACAAUAUGGUUUCGAUAUCUACUUAAUAUGUCACCUGAAUAUGUCUCUAAGCAUCUCAUUUGUUAAAUAGUACUGAAUAUGUCUUUGAAAAUGAAUUUGCAUUGAUUCAACAUCAAGAAUGAAACACUUCUUCGAGUAGAGGUUCUAUAAUUGAAAUAACCUGAUGUUUAAUUGAUAGUGUUUCUGAUCCCUCAUGGUUAAUUAAUCUGAUGGGCAAUUAAAAUAUUCUGAGACUUGCAUAUAGUCAGAUCCCAAGAAAAUGUGGCUUAGUCCAAAGUUUUUAACUUGCCUGAUCCUGCCUUGCUAAUUCUAUCAUCUGGAUACUGUCAUUUUUACCUUGCCUCUAUUACAUAUCCAAAUCCUUCUUGCACUUAUAUAUGUUUGUAAUGUUUUUCUCUUCAUUGGAUGAGGCUCAAAGGAAGAAGUGAUGAGUAAGCGUCAAAUUUUGCUAAGAAUUUCAGAAGCCAUUGUAUCAGAUCAACCUUGUGCUAGAUUGUUCAUAUAAACUUCUGAAUUUGCCAAGCAUUUGAAGUUGAAGCUCUAAGACAUGUUAUUGUGUCAUCUUUCUGAAUUUUUUAUCCUUUGAAGCUCAAGAAAUAUUCAUACAGAACUUCUCAUAACUUUUGAACUUUAUUUCAUUUUGCCUUGGACUUCUUAUAUGCAGUAUAGUUUUUAAUUCAAAUGUUGCUUGAUGCCUGUUAAUUAGCCUACCCAGCCACUUUUCUCUUCAAUAGAAUCAAGAGCCUGUGCUGCCCUGUAAGCUUGAUAAAAUGUUCUACUGAUUUGGAGACCAUGGAUACUUUGUUAUGCAUGUGCUUUUCUGUAAGCGUUAGUUCAAAUCAGCAGCAUACUGCUGUCCAUUACCGUUGUUCCCAGUCAAACACACAAAAGAAUCUGAAUAACGUUACCCAAGGUAACCAAACAAAAUCUAGGAAUCGUUACUCUGUAACAGAUAGCGGGGGUAGUUGAUAACAUUACUGUUACCUCCCCAUUGGAUGAAACAAACACUAUCCAAAAUUUUGGUCUCCCUUCAGUUAGCUAUUGAUUCAUUGCUGUUACGUCUCUCCUGGAUUUACGUAAACCUGCUGUUGCCAUGGUUUGUUUGCUGUGGCAGUUAAUUUUGAUGCAGCCCAGUUUGUUUCUGUUAGAGAAACUGAGGAAGAGCAUUGCUUGAUGCUCCAUCCAUUGAAAAUUCUUCUAGUGUCUCUCAAUCGCGAGAGCAUAUGGAUCGCCUGUAGAUAACUCAUUUGUGGUAUUUGUAUCAGGCUUUGAUGGUUGCUCAAUGAAAUGGCCUCCCGUCCAAAGCUGUCUGGUAUUCAGAAGCAGGUCUUGACGCUGUACAGGGGAUUCCUUCGGACAGCACGCCUAAAAGACCCAGAAGAGCGGCGCAGGAUCGAGUCUGUUGUCUCGGCAGAGUUCCGUGACAACGCAAGGAAUGUCGACCGUAGGAACUUUGUAUACAUAGAGUACUUGCUGAGGAGAGGGAAGAGACAGCUUGAGCAGCUCAAGAAUCCUGAUAUUACUGGACUUGCUACCCUUGAAGUAAAGAAAUGAGGUAUAUAGUGUUUUACUAACCAUUCAGUUUUUUAAGUACUGUAAAUGCUUAGGAAAUCUUCUUGUAGCUAUAAAAUAUGAGAAUUACGAGCCAGUUCUUCCCUUUAGAACAAUGGUGAAUUGCUGAUAGUUAUCUGCAAAGUACUUACCAUUUUCCACUUGAAGUGAUCUUCUAAACUAGCUAUUUAUUUCCCUUAGAACAAUGCUGAUAGCUAUCCACAAAGUACUUACUGUUUUCCACUUAUGAAUGUUGAAACAGAAAGUGGUCUUCUAAACUGUUAAGUAACUAUGACCUGAAAUCACGGUUUAUUUAGAAAAUGCUAAGAUGGGAUUACUUGUACAGGAUAACACACACGCAUGCCUUUUUUUAUGGCUGUGACAAGAACCUGUGUUUUAAUUCUAUGCGUAAGUAUGUGACAGCUAUGUUCAUGCUUCUCUCUAGUCUGAAAUGGGUUAAGGCAAAAUUGGCUGCAGGACACUGUUAAAAGGUGUCUUUUGCCACAGACCACUAAGAAAGAGUGGCUUGCUAGUAGACACUACAAAACCAUGUGCAUUUGCUGGAAGACACUGCACCCAUUAUUUUAUUCAGUUUAAUUCUAGAGCUACAGGGAAAGACAACUUUGCACCUGCUCUCCUCUUUCGUAGUCCCGAUCUGUUUUCCCCCUCUCUCCUUGCCUUUCUCAUUCACAUUCCUCCCCCCUCAAAUCCGUGUCAAGUGGCAUGAUGUGUUGUGGCGGGCCAUUGUGAACGAGAUGCAGUGGUGGGCCCCGGCGGGAUCCGGUGGCUGAGGCAUUUGUAGCACUCGACGAAGGGUGCAUUGGAGCUCCGGGCUGGGUAGCGAGUGAUGGAGCUCCAGGCAGGGACGGCGGCGCGAAGGCCCACUCGCAGCAGUGGGCGUCGUGACUGCAUGUAGCAUGCCAAUGGAGCUCCUACUGGGCAGAGCAGCGAUGCUUGCAGUGGCGGGAUCUUGCCGAUGGUCCUGGUGAGAAGCAGUGGCCUCAUUUUUUUUUUCUUUUUUUCCCUCCCCAUUGCUGGUGGUCGGCACAGCAACAUCUUGGGGAGCCCGCUGCUAAUCUGCGCUGUGCUGGUUCCCUGGCGGUGCUGCUGUGCUGCAGGGGAGGCUGCUACGACACGCUGCUUGCUGCUCCACCUGCUCACAAGAAUGGCGAUGAUCUGGAUUCAGUAAAAAAGUCAUGACAGGCGAUGCUCUUGUCCUUGUGAUGAUCCGGUGUUGUUCUCUCACUGCCCAUGGAUAAUCUUGAUUUUGUUCCAUGUCUUUCGUCUUAUUUUUCUUACCGCAAUAUGAUUUGAUAUUUGAAGGGUGUGAAGGGCAGGGCAUGGAAGGGUUAUACUUGUCCAGAUUUAAGUGUUUUGAGUUGGAAACAUUAUUAUAUAAGUUAUAGUGUCUCUCAGCUGAUUUACAUGGUUUUGUAAUGGCUUCCAGCAAAAUCACUCUUUUUUAGUGCUCAUGGCGAAAGACACCUUUUUAACGGUGUCUGGUAGCAAAUUUUCCCAAGGGUUAAUUGCAUGGCUGUGCCUUCUACUACUGUGCAUACAUCUAAAGAACCAUAAUUUGAUAGCUGUAUAUUAUUAUUAUUCUUAUUAUUUUUAUCUAGGUUAGUAACAAUAUAAGGAUGUUCAUCAAAGUUUCUUCUUCUAGCACUUUUUUGUCAGCAUUUCUUUUGGAAAUUUCCAGGCCUUUUCAUUGCCAGAACUAAUCAUAAUGGGAGGAUUUGGGAAUCUCAAGAACCUGCCAAUGAUGACGUCCAAAGAACAUAAAUAUGACCAUACAUCAGAGUUUUUUUCAGCUGUGACUUUCUGGGGUUCCUUAAUUAGCCUAUGGGAAUCUCAAGAUAAAUCUGGUAGUACCUGUCUGGUUAUCCAGGUAGUAAUAUCAAAUUUACUACUCUAUUUUGGUGUAACCAGACUUCAUACUGGGCCUAUGUGAUCCAAGGAUUCUUGUGCAAUCAUGGAAUUUGGAUGUUUAUUGAUUUGAUACGAUAUUAGCCUAGUUUAAAAAAUGGUGUUGAAAUUCUGUGAUGAAUCAGCAAAGAUUGUCCCUGGCUUUGAUAGCUGGUGUUUGGACACUUCUGUUAUCAUUCCCAUGUCCAAAUAAUUUGCUACAAUUCUAUUUAAGUUCCUUCUGGUCUUAUCUCCAUCAGAAGUAGCCUAAUUCCAUAUCUGACUAACCUUUUCCUUGGUUUUUCCCUCAUUAUGUGAUUUAGUCAAUUUGUAAAGUUCAUAGGAAAAGGAAUUUGGACGUUGCUUGUUACUUAGAAGCAGCUCAAGCAUAGCAAUUCUGAGGCAACAGCAGAAGAAUAUAUGUGCUCUAUGUUGGUCGCAUGAGUUUGGGAUAUAACAGGAUCUUCCAAACACA